Non-coding RNA from Myotis brandtii (Brandt's bat), 74 nucleotides. The record is from Rfam. Lineage: Eukaryota; Metazoa; Chordata; Mammalia; Chiroptera; Vespertilionidae.
GGCAGUUCUCGGGUGACACACCCCGGAAUCAGCUCCCUUCUCUCUGGUUCUGUAUGCAUCACCUGAGAACUACA